RNAcentral lists this ribosomal RNA (253 nucleotides) under uncultured microorganism. RNAcentral's name for it is "partial 16S ribosomal RNA". It matches the Rfam family "Bacterial small subunit ribosomal RNA", at positions 524 to 776 of the family's 1533-position model. The record is from RNAcentral.
UACGGAGGGGGCAAGCGUUGUUCGGAGUUACUGGGCGUAAAGCGCGCGUAGGCGGUGCGGUAAGUCAGGGGUUAAAGGCUGCAGCUCAACUGCAGUAAGGCCUUUGAUACUAUCGCGCUAGAGUACCAGAGAGGAUGGCGGAAUUCCCGGUGUAGCGGUGAAAUGCGUAGAUAUCAGGAGGAACACCGGUGGCGAAGGCGGCCUUCUGGACGGUUACUGACGCUGAGACGCGAAAGCGUGGGGAGCAAACAGG